UACGUAGGGAGCGAGCGUUAUCCGGAUUUACUGGGUGUAAAGGGCGCGUAGGCGGGAGUGCAAGUCAGAUGUGAAAUCUCCGGGCUCAACCUGGAAACUGCAUUUGAAACUGUAUUUCUUGAGUGAUGGAGAGGCAAGCGGAAUUCCUAGUGUAGCGGUGAAAUGCGUAGAUAUUAGGAGGAACACCAGUGGCGAAGGCGGCUUGCUGGACAUUAACUGACGCUGAGGCGCGAAAGCGUGGGGAGCAAAC
RNAcentral lists this ribosomal RNA (250 nucleotides) under uncultured bacterium. RNAcentral describes it as "partial 16S ribosomal RNA". It matches the Rfam family "Bacterial small subunit ribosomal RNA", at positions 524 to 773 of the family's 1533-position model. The record is from RNAcentral.